CACAAAUGCAUCUCAAUGUUUCAAAGCAACCAGAAACCAGCAAAUCAAGGUAAAUAAAUGUUACGCCGCAGUCCCAGAUUACUCGCAAAAGGGUACUAUAAUCCCGAGGACCCCACGAUUCAACAGAUCUGCUCUAAGGAGACCCCCAUCAGGAUCUUCAAGAAAAGGGAAGGGAACUGCGGAGUGGGUGGGGCCUGUCGCAACUUAAUUAGCGAAUUUAAUGUGUGUGAUUUCCAGAGCCUGGAAAAAAAAGAUCCCAUGCUGACAUCUGAAAUAUCUCCUCAGCAUGCUUCCCCACCCAGCAGAUGUUUUUUAGUUGUGAGGAAGAUGGUUCUUCUUCCCCUCCUCCUCUGCCUGCUGGCGUUUGGUGUUUGGUUUUGCUACACGAGUGUUACUAAACAGCUGUUUCAGUCUGCAGCAUAUUUGGCACAGGACACAUUCAUACAGAAUCAAGCAGCUCUGAUUGAAGAGUUCAAGUUCCUGAAACUGACGAUAAGACAACAGAGUCUAGAACAAAAGGAAGAGUUCCAGAAACUGGCGAUAAGACAACAGAG
Molecule: long non-coding RNA, 554 nt
Organism: Ictalurus punctatus (channel catfish)
Lineage: Eukaryota; Metazoa; Chordata; Actinopteri; Siluriformes; Ictaluridae
Source: Ensembl